Molecule: ribosomal RNA, 115 nt
Filed under: Zetaproteobacteria bacterium
Lineage: Bacteria; Pseudomonadati; Pseudomonadota; Candidatius Mariprofundia
Source: RNAcentral
UCUGGUGUCCAUAGCAAAGAGGAAACGCCUGAUCCCGUCCCGAACUCAGAAGCUAAGCUCUUUAGCGCCGAUGGUACUGCAGGGGUCCCUGUGGGAGAGUAGGUCGAUGCCAGAA